AUCCAUCCGACGAGUCCCAAGUGGGGCGAAACGCGCGUCCCGGAU
Molecule: non-coding RNA, 45 nt
Organism: Schistosoma rodhaini
Lineage: Eukaryota; Metazoa; Platyhelminthes; Trematoda; Strigeidida; Schistosomatidae
Source: Rfam